UUCGCCACGCCGCCCUCUCUCCACUUCUCCUCAACCACGCCGCCAUCUCUCCACUUAUCCUCUUCAACCUCCAAAUCCACCCUAAUCAAUCUGAUGGGAUCCCUCCAAUCCACUGGUCGCUGAUGUGCAUCGCAGUCGAUUGGCCUAGUGGGCGGGUUGACGGAGAUUCAGCAGGCGGGCGGGCGAUUGGAGGUCGUGGAGGUUGGGGGACGACGGAGUCGACCGGCCGGAGUGUGCGAUGGGGACAACGGCGUCGAUUCGGCGGGUAGGUCGAAGGAAUCAUCUGCUGCAACGAGCAACUUUGACUUCAACCUACAGGUGGAUUAAGCAGAGCAAGCACAGAAGUACAGCCAUCCUGCCUAGGGUAGCUGCGCCCCAGAAUGCCCAUGCUGAAAAUAAUCUUCCAGUGCAACAAGGUGGUCCUGAACCAAGUUUAUGACUCACCAAGUCCCUAAGAAGAAUGCUCAUGCUCAAAACAGCAAUGCACCAAGCUACAUGGACGCUUUACUAAAGCGGCUCUAUAGUUGGCUAGAGAUGAAAUAACACGUCGCUAGGUAUGAAAUUGGGCGUGUCUAUCGGUUGUUUUUGUUGUAGUGGUGUGGACGUGGCGCCUAUUAUUCCUGAAGGAAGGAAAAUCUUUAGUACGAGGAAUUAAAUAGAGUAUUUAUAGUGGACUGUAUUUGUAGCAAUACAAUAUUGGAGUAUAUCAUAAAAGAGAGUAUUUUCCACAAAAAUAAAAAUAAAAGAGUAUGGCCAUAUAUGCCGCCGGCAAGGAUUAAUUAUAUAGUGAUAUUGUCAUUCUUACUUUGUGUACAUUCAAAGUGGGAGUAUAUAGAAUGGAGUAAUUUUUAAAGAGAGUGAACGCUCAAAGGAGUAUAUAGAAUGGAGUAUUUUUUAUGAAAUUAAUGCA
Triticum aestivum (bread wheat) is the source of this 910-nucleotide long non-coding RNA. RefSeq lists it as uncharacterized. The transcript is spliced from 3 exons. The record is from RefSeq and is a predicted model, not a curated record. Lineage: Eukaryota; Viridiplantae; Streptophyta; Magnoliopsida; Poales; Poaceae.